CAGACCGGUCAGCCCUUCGCAAUUUUGCUGCGGGUGUGUGUGUGUGUGUGUGUGUGGGGUGCGGGGGGGGAAGGGGGGGGUGCGCGUCGUAAGUAUUGUCUUUAACAGAUUCUGUAGCUUUCUGUGAACUUCUAAAUCUGCUCCUUAGUGGCAUCUUUUCGGGCCUGAUACUGCCUCUAGUGGCGUGGGGUGGUAACACAGCUAAUAUAAUUACAGUAUUAAAUCAGAAUACCACAACAUCCUUAUAAUUUACUAUUAAUUCUGGCAUUACUGGCACCGUAAAAGAUAAAUUCCCUCACUAAAGAACAUACCUUUUCAUUUUCUUAAGGAAGUAGAGCUAAUUAAAUGACAUAAACAAAACCUGAAAGUGAUUCCAGUUUCACUCGAUGGCCAACCUGUUGAAACUGUGGUAAAUUUUAAAUUCCUUGUCAUUCCUGGACAGUCAGCUCAGUUUUGCUGAAAACACUGGCUAUAUCUUUAAGAACUAUUCUCAGAGACUCUGUCUUUUUAGACCCAGUGAUCUUUGGGUAGAGGUUGUUGAGUUAAAAUGUUAAAACUUUACGUUCUAACUAGAGUUUUAACUCAACUCAACUUUUAACUGUGGACUGUUUUAACUUUUCAUCUCCUUUGGUCACAUGAGCUGCAGACUAACAGACAAUAUUUUCAGAAAACUUUCAAUGGCAGGUAAAAUAGUAGGUAAUAGUUUGAGCUCAUGAAGGCCUUAUUGUUUUCCUCUGGUAACUAAGAACAUCGAUUAGAAGUCAUUUAUUGACAGAGCAAUAAUUAUUCUUAGCCAAACUAAAUGAUAACAUUUACCUGUAGCAUGCUAAGUGUUUUACUUGAUGCACAAAGUGUUGAUAUUGUGAUUCUAUGAAAGAGUUUUAUUUUAUCGUUUUAGAGUCAAAGAAAAAUUUCCACCUUGGAAGACUAAAUAGUUUAACCAGAUUUUUUCCUAAAUAUAAAACUCUACCAACAAAAAGUCUCAGAAUAAUAUACAUGGCACCGUAAAAAUAAAAAUGUAAAUUAUUGCUUG
This is a long non-coding RNA of Xiphophorus hellerii (green swordtail), 1033 nucleotides long. RefSeq lists it as uncharacterized. The record is from RefSeq and is a predicted model, not a curated record. The transcript is spliced from 2 exons. Lineage: Eukaryota; Metazoa; Chordata; Actinopteri; Cyprinodontiformes; Poeciliidae.